Molecule: transfer RNA, 73 nt
Filed under: Camelus bactrianus (Bactrian camel)
Lineage: Eukaryota; Metazoa; Chordata; Mammalia; Artiodactyla; Camelidae
Also listed under: 2 other names
Rfam family: tRNA
About the family: Transfer RNA (tRNA) molecules are approximately 80 nucleotides in length. Their secondary structure includes four short double-helical elements and three loops (D, anti-codon, and T loops). Further hydrogen bonds mediate the characteristic L-shaped molecular structure. tRNAs have two regions of fundamental functional importance: the anti-codon, which is responsible for specific mRNA codon recognition, and the 3' end, to which the tRNAs corresponding amino acid is attached (by aminoacyl-tRNA synthetases). tRNAs cope with the degeneracy of the genetic code in two manners: having more than one tRNA (with a specific anti-codon) for a particular amino acid; and 'wobble' base-pairing, i.e. permitting non-standard base-pairing at the 3rd anti-codon position.
Source: Rfam by way of RNAcentral
AAAGGUAUAGCUCAAAUGGUAGAGCACAUGCUUAGCACACAUGGGGACCUGGGUUCAAUCCCUGGUACCUCCU